Molecule: transfer RNA, 59 nt
Filed under: Cricetulus griseus (Chinese hamster)
Lineage: Eukaryota; Metazoa; Chordata; Mammalia; Rodentia; Cricetidae
Rfam family: tRNA
About the family: Transfer RNA (tRNA) molecules are approximately 80 nucleotides in length. Their secondary structure includes four short double-helical elements and three loops (D, anti-codon, and T loops).
Source: Rfam by way of RNAcentral
GUAGCUCAGUGGGUAGAGCGCUUGCCUAGUAGGCAUGAAGCCCAGGAUUAACCCCUGGC